This 797-nucleotide ribosomal RNA is filed under the name uncultured bacterium. Its description in RNAcentral is "bacterial SSU rRNA". It matches the Rfam family "Bacterial small subunit ribosomal RNA", at positions 8 to 794 of the family's 1533-position model. The record is from RNAcentral.
AGAGUUUGAUCAUGGCUCAGAUUGAACGCUGGCGGCAGGCCUAACACAUGCAAGUCGAGCGGUAGCACAGGAGAGCUUGCUCUCUGGGUGACGAGCGGCGGACGGGUGAGUAAUGUCUGGGAAACUGCCUGAUGGAGGGGGAUAACUACUGGAAACGGUAGCUAAUACCGCAUAACGUCUUCGGACCAAAGUGGGGGACCUUCGGGCCUCACGCCAUCAGAUGUGCCCAGAUGGGAUUAGCUAGUAGGUGGGGUAAUGGCUCACCUAGGCGACGAUCCCUAGCUGGUCUGAGAGGAUGACCAGCCACACUGGAACUGAGACACGGUCCAGACUCCUACGGGAGGCAGCAGUGGGGAAUAUUGCACAAUGGGCGCAAGCCUGAUGCAGCCAUGCCGCGUGUGUGAAGAAGGCCUUCGGGUUGUAAAGCACUUUCAGCGAGGAGGAAGGGCAGUGUGUUAAUAGCACAUUGCAUUGACGUUACUCGCAGAAGAAGCACCGGCUAACUCCGUGCCAGCAGCCGCGGUAAUACGGAGGGUGCAAGCGUUAAUCGGAAUUACUGGGCGUAAAGCGCACGCAGGCGGUUUGUUAAGUCAGAUGUGAAAUCCCCGCGCUUAACGUGGGAACUGCAUUUGAAACUGGCAAGCUAGAGUCUUGUAGAGGGGGGUAGAAUUCCAGGUGUAGCGGUGAAAUGCGUAGAGAUCUGGAGGAAUACCGGUGGCGAAGGCGGCCCCCUGGACAAAGACUGACGCUCAGGUGCGAAAGCGUGGGGAGCAAACAGGAUUAGAUACCCCGGUAGU